UACGUAGGUGGCAAGCGUUGUCCGGAAUUAUUGGGCGUAAAGCGCGCGCAGGCGGUCCUUUAAGUCUGAUGUGAAAGCCCACGGCUCAACCGUGGAGGGUCAUUGGAAACUGGGGGACUUGAGUACAGAAGAGGAAAGCGGAAUUCCACGUGUAGCGGUGAAAUGCGUAGAGAUGUGGAGGAACACCAGUGGCGAAGGCGGCUUUCUGGUCUGUAACUGACGCUGAGGCGCGGAAGCGUGGGGAGCAAACAGG
This 253-nucleotide ribosomal RNA is filed under the name uncultured bacterium. RNAcentral's name for it is "partial 16S ribosomal RNA". It matches the Rfam family "Bacterial small subunit ribosomal RNA", at positions 524 to 776 of the family's 1533-position model. The record is from RNAcentral.